Molecule: ribosomal RNA, 478 nt
Filed under: uncultured bacterium
Lineage: Bacteria
Description: partial 16S ribosomal RNA
Rfam family: Bacterial small subunit ribosomal RNA
Source: RNAcentral
GGCGAACGCUGGCGGCGUGCUUAACACAUGCAAGUCGAACGGUAAGGCCCUUCGGGGUACACGAGUGGCGAACGGGUGAGUAACACGUGGGUGAUCUGCCCUGCACUUCGGGAUAAGCCUGGGAAACUGGGUCUAAUACCGGAUAGGACCACUGCCUGCAUGGGUGGGGGUGGAAAGCUUUUGCGGUGUGGGAUGGGCCCGCGGCCUAUCAGCUUGUUGGUGGGGUGAUGGCCUACCACGGGGACGGCGGGUAGCCGGCCUGAGAGGGUGACCGGCCACACUGGGACUGAGAUACGGCCCAGACUCCUACGGGAGGCAGCAGUGGGGAAUAUUGCACAAUGGGCGCAAGCCUGAUGCAGCGACGCCGCGUGAGGGAUGACGGCCUUCGGGUUGUAAACCUCUUUCAGCACCGACGAAGCGCAAGUGACGGUAGGUGCAGAAGAAGGACCGGCCAACUACGUGCCAGCCGCCGCCGUAA